UUUUAUUCCCAUGUGAUCACUUAAUGCUAAUAAAAGGUGGCAGCUGUUUCUUGUGGGAGAAGGCAAAUGGAUUGACCUACAGCAGGUCACAUUUAUCUGAGAUCAUCUGAGAAGCACUCCCACCUGAGUGAGAGGAGACUAAAAGAGGAAUAGUGUAAUGUCAUCUUUUUUCAUUUACAAACCCUUUCUGCGCAUUUCAGAAAGAACAAUUACCUUGCAAAAUGUAGUGCCUUACAGCUUGUGGCUGUCGUGUAGAUACAAAGAUCUUAAAUAACAUUGUUGGUUAGCAUAUUUGUUUUUCUAAACACAACACUUAGAAAGGAAACUCCUCAACUUCACUUGUUCAAUUCAUUGCCUACAGCAGAAAUAUUUUCUCCAAAGUUUCUUGGGCAAACAGACUAAGUUUUGGGAGGUUGUUUCCAAUUGCUUGCUUAGUAAAGGGAGAAAAUUUGCUGCCUGUGGGCGGGUGAUUUCUGAGACAAUGAAUAUGCUGAAUGUGGUCUGUCUUACCAGCAUCAGAAAGAUGGAUCCAUUUUAAUGAAUGCAAAACCGAGUGCAGCUUCAUACUCCCAGGUGUGGUGAAAAGCCCUCCCAGUAGUGGUGCUGUGGAACCUUAUUACUGAAAGCAAAACAUAUCUAACAUCCAGUCUUGCAGUGGUUACUCAGAUCCGUUUGAGGGUGGAAGGAAGGAGCAGUCACUCCAUGCAUUGAGCCGGUUACUUCAAAGCUGGGACACAUCUUGAAUGAGAAAGUUGAUCUCAUGGCUGUGCAAGCUUCAUCUGCUCCUGGUACUCUCAGCUGAAGAUAGAAGCUUGGUGUUUUUCUCUUGGAGAAGCUGGUGCUUUCUUACUGGAGAUGCUGUUCUGGAGAUGACUGUUUGUGUGACUUUAUUUUCAAUUUUUCCCUUUCCAAAGUACCAAUAAAAGGAAGAGGCUGACAGCCCUUUUCCCGGCCUGUGGUGACAUCUCAAAGGAACUUGUUCAGGCAUUGCUCACAACAUGCAUAGACUUCCACUUUGCGAGACACCUUAUCCUCUUCUCCGUCUCUCCUUAUGAUUCACUAUUGCUGUGAUGCCUGCUGGGGACUUCCAGCUGAGAAGGUGAGAUAGACACUGGUGAGCUGUAGUGUAAGCAAUUACAUUGCAGGAAAAUUGUGCUUAUUUAUUGUGGUUGCUUCCUACCUGUUCUUCAUUUCUACCUGCUUCUUAUUUACCUAUUUUUUCUCAUAACAGUGAGCUCUGGGGGUGUGGAAGCAGCGAGAGUGGCGAAGCUACUGAAAUCAAAAGUGAUACUACUGAUAGAACUUCAGAGCCAAAAUCAUGUACAGAAAUUAUAUGCAAAAAUAUAGAUUGGUCUAUUCCUAACUAAUCAACACUACAAGAUACGUGUGUGCAUCCAUACUGGUAAAGGUACUGCCUGUCACAGAAAUAUAACAUGGUAACAUUUUAUCUGAGAGGGC
This 1458-nucleotide long non-coding RNA is filed under the name Struthio camelus australis. RNAcentral describes it as "lncRNA (ENSSCUG00000017945.1)". The record is from RNAcentral. Lineage: Eukaryota; Metazoa; Chordata; Aves; Struthioniformes; Struthionidae.